AUGGCUUCCACCCUCCUUCCAAAGCUUGUGACCACGGAUCAGGCUCCUCCCACCGUUCCUUCCCCUCUCCUUCUUGGAGCCGCGUGUGACCACGGAUCUGGCUCUCCACCAGCGGCAGCUGGGAUGGCGCGGAUCCACCUCUUCUCCACAAGAGCCGGCCGAGACGACGUGGAUUUGCAUCUCCUCCUCCCUCCCUGCCAUGGCCGCCUUUAUCUGCUGCGCCCCCCGCCUCGCAGCUCUGCUUCUGGACGGAGAUCUGGAGGAGUACCCGCCGCUCACCGUGGCUUCAAUCCUUCUUCCCAGCUGGCCCCAGAGGCACAACGUUAA
Molecule: ribosomal RNA, 327 nt
Filed under: Triticum aestivum (bread wheat)
Lineage: Eukaryota; Viridiplantae; Streptophyta; Magnoliopsida; Poales; Poaceae
Description: partial small subunit ribosomal RNA
Source: RNAcentral